AUUUCUGGAAACUAGACAUGUAGGGCUUCUUGAUUAAAUUUUAUUUCAUUAAAUUCAACUUCGUUUUCAAUUUUAUACGUAUUUUGGAAAUAGAAACCACUGCACUGGAAAUCCACGAUUCCAGUAUUGUGAUCAGAUUCAAAAGACUAUUUGUACCACCAAAUGAACUCAAAAAAUUCUGAAAGUUUAUAUGUAUGUUAAUAUAUGUGUCUAGGAUUCGCAGUUUUAAUUUCAUAAUUUUCUGAUUAGUAUUUUAUUUUAUAAAAAUCACGGAACCCAUUCUGUUUGGUUUAGAUUAUGUGAAAACAGUUUCGAAUUUGCUGAGAAGUAAAUAGUUUUUAAAAUGUUUUUGAUAUCGGAUUCUCUUGUAAAUUUUACAUGGGGUACUCAUGGAUGUCCAGAAUGGUUCCAUAGGAUUUUAUAUCAUUCUGAGACUUGGAUUAAGAGUUAAAAUUCUGAGAAUCAGACCUGUACGGGUAUGAAUUAGAAAAUCAAAUUCUUAGAAUACGUUAUUGAUUGUCAUAUCUUGUAUUUGUUUAAGGUUUUGAAGGUGUUUGAGGCUCUUAGAAGCUUAGAGGUGUGUUAAUCCAAGUUCAUUUGUCGAGGUAAGUAACUUCAUUCCUAGUAUACUGGAUAUGUAUAAGUAUUUUGAUAUUAUUGUUAUAAGUAUAAAUGUUUUUAUACUACUUAAAGGAUUAAUUGAUUUUGAUAACAAAAUUAGCUUUAUGUAAAUGUUUUCAAACCAUUCUUUUUAACAAAGUAUUUUAUAAAUGCUUUUUAAUAUGUAAAUGAUUUUAUGACAUGACAACCUUUUAUGAUUUUAUCUUUAAAAUGUUAUGCAAGCCUAAAUUAUUGUUAUGAACUUUUAUGAAACUGAUAUGAAUGUUUUGUACCUAUGUUUGAUUUCAAUUAUUGAUGAUUGUAUGAGAUUCUUAAUGCUUUGGCUCAUUGUCCAUAGUUAGUCUGAUUCUGAUUCUGAUUCUGAUCGUAAUAUACGAUAUAUCCGUCUGGACCAGUACUGGGUUUUUGUUCUGAAUGUACACACGAUAUUCUAAUUAUGUUUCUGGCCGGGUCACCGGGACUAUAGGUGACACUAUGUGACAUGAGCUAACCUGUUUGUUUUCUGUAUACGUAUUACAUGAGUUGAUUCGUAAGUAAAUAUGCUUUUGAAUAUUCUGAAUUAUUAAGAAUUUAUCUUAUGUUAUUGUGAUAUAUCGUUUUAUGAAAAUUAUGGAUUAUGAUAUAUGCUUUAAACAAAAGAAGGCUUGCAAUAUUUUUGGUAUCAAUAGGCCUAGUGUGUUAGGAAUGGUUUUACUUACCGAGUUGACGGCUCACCCCUCGUCAUUACUUUUUUGCAGAUUAAGUUUCUUUUGAGAGGUGCACUUAGCUUUGGAGUUAAUGAUUUCCAGUUUCCGUUUGCUAUUGAAUAAGAGGAGGAAUAGACUUGUGUUUCUAUUUAGUUACUUUUAUUAUGAACGUGUAAUUUGGAGUUUGAGACUUUUGUUAUUAUUUUUAUAUGUCCUCGAGAGAGAUUAUUUAGUAUUUGACGUUUGGAUUUAUGGAUUUAUUUGAAUAAGAAUUGGAGGAAUUUCAGUUUGAAACUUAUGAGUAAAGAUUAUGAUUUGUGAGUAACCUCCUUCUUCACGUGCUCCGCACGUGUUAGAUUUGGGGUGUUACAAUUGUGGUAUCAGAGCAACUAGGUUAGGAUUCUGUAGACUUUCUUUUACGGUUUAAUUAGAUUGUCUAAUUAAAUCGAUUACAUUUGUUUUGUAGACAUGAAGAAGGACAAUAUGGGUAUGAAAAGUGUCAAGAAUAAGGGAUGGACAGAAAUUGAUAGGACCGAACAAUUUAUCUUAGGAGGAGUUCUUGUCAAAGAUCUUAGGAGACUUCAUAAGCAGUGAAUGGAUGAUAGACUAAGACGGACUAUAGAGGUCUACAUCGAUACUCCUCCAGGACCUGGAGCUUCAAGAAAGAAGCUCAAUGAGGCUAUACGUGGACUACGUGUUUAUGGCAAGGGAGCUAACAAGAAUAAGCUUGUAAUACGUCGCCUAUUUUGGACAGGACCUCGAUUUAAGCCUUACUAUAGCAAAGGAUGGGUAUCUCCAGGUCUAAAUAAACUACCUUAUAGAACUCCUAAGGAAAUCGAGACAGAUGGAGUCACGACUAAGGAAAGGAAAGUAAAGAUAGAUCCUUUUCCUAUCCGGUUGAGUACACCUAUGAACUUUGUGGCUGUAGGACAUGAAACUCUGUAGACUUUAUUAAGGUUAAUAGAGUGAUUAAAUAUUUUAAGGCAAGGAGUAACUAGUAAUUCUAUUUUGGUCUUUUUGGCUUUCUAUGUUGCUUGUGACUUUGUAAUAACUCUUGUUAUAUGAUCUUUGGUAUUAACGUAGAAUGAAAUAUUUAUUGCUCUUGUUUACAAUAUCAAAUUUUCUUAGCUACACUACUUAUUCAGUACUCUGCGCGCUUGCACGACCUUUAGCUAUGAAUUAUUUACCCCUUUUUAAUUAUUUAUUUAUUCUCCGUGUUAUAGUCAAGAGAUGUCACGUAAGGGAGGUGCUAGGCAUGCCUCUAGCUCGAGAGAUGUUUUAGGUAUCGCUGACGACGCUGACCCAACCUUGCACGAGAUGGCUAACGAAGGAAAUCCUAUGAUGCGCGCAAUGCUUAGAUUGAUGGAACAACAAAGUAAGUUAAUUCAAGAUAUGGCUAGAGGCAGAGUUGGGGCACAAGAGAAUGUGCCAGUUGAAAGGCAAGGUGGCGCAAGAGAUCAUGGGGCUAUGGUGAACUUAGAACGAUUUAAGAAAUUGGGACCACCUACCUUUCAGGGGACUGCCGAUUCCAUGGUUGCAGAGGCAUGGCUAAAACAGAUGGAGAAGAUAUUUGUGGCUAUGGGUUGUAAUGAUGAUCAAAGGGUAAUAUUAGCCUCAUUUGUCCUUCAGGGUGAGGCAGACCACUGGUGGGAUGCCAAAUCUCGUCUCAUAAGGGCUGGCUUGCAAGAUGCACCCAUUACUUGGGAGUUAUUUUUGGAGGCUUUUCAUGAAAAGUAUUUUCCUGAACGAGUUCGACAUCAGAUGGAGGCUGAUUUCUUGAGGUUAACUCAAGGAACAAAGUCUGUUGCGGAGUAUGAGGAACAAUUUACUGCCCUCUCUCGUUUUGCUCAUACCUUGGUUGCUAAUGAAGGUAGUAAGUGUAGGAAGUUCCUGGAAGGGUUACGUCCUAACAUUAAAGGGCGAUUGACCAUCCUUAAGAUUAACAAUUAUGCCGAUUUGGUGGACCGAGCAAUUCUUGCGGAGAAGGAUAUUCUUGAAGCCCAAGUUACAAAGGAUCAGAGAAAUAAGAAGAAUCAACAAGGUGGACCGCGAAAUGGAAGUUCCUUUAGGCAGGGCACUCACUCCCAGAAGUAUAAUGGUGGAGGUAACAAAUGGGAUAACAAGGGUGUUACUGGUGACACCGCUCGGAGGAACUACCCCAUUUGUCGACAUUGUGAAAGGAGGCACCCUGGUGAAUGCCAUUGGAAAACUGGAGCUUGUUUUGCUUGUGGAGAAUCUGGGCAUAGGAUUAUGGAUUGCCCAAAGAGACGUAGCGAGACUACAAAUACUCAGACUAACGAAGGGCAGAGGAAGAAACCGAGGGUACAAGGGCGUGUUUUUGCACUAACAGAAAAAGAUGCUGAGGUGUCCAAUGAUGUAGUAUCAGGUACAUUGUCUUUAUUCUCUAGAGAAGCCAAAGUUCUUUUUGAUCCUGGUGCUACACAUUCAUUUGUAUCUUGUGUGUUUGCCCGUUAUGCUAAUGUGCCUAUCACACCACUGGAUGUUCACGUGACAAUUAGUACCCCUAUGGGGGAUUGCUAGUUUAUAGAUCAUGUCUAUAAGUCAUGUGUGAUCAGAUUGUGUGAUAAAGAAUUCCUUGUGGAUCUCCUACCUUUAGAGAUGCACGAUUUUGAUUUGAUUUUGGGGAUGGAUUGGUUAGGACCUUACCAUGUUUCAAUAGAUUGUUUUGCUAAUUAAAUUAUUUUUCGCCUACCUGGCGAGGAAAAAUUUCAUUUUCAAGGGAAUCAUAAGAGUCAUAAAGCUUUGAUUUCUAUGGUUAAGGCAAUGAAAAUGCUAAAGAAGGGGUGUGAAGGAUUUUUAGCGUAUAUAGUUGCUGACCAUCCCGAUGGGGCGUGCCUUGAAGACAUACCUAUUGUAAGGGAGUUUAUUGAUGUAUUUCCUGAAGAUCUUCCGGGACUACCCCCAGAUCGAGAGGUUGAGUUUACUAUAGAAUUAGUUCCUGGUACUACACCUAUAUCCAAGGCACCAUAUCGGAUGGCACCCAUUGAAUUAAAAGAACUAAAGGUCCAGCUACAAGAAUUACUAGAUAAGGGUUUCAUUCGUCCUAGUGUGUCGCCUUGGGGUGCUCCCGUUUUGUUCGUAAAGAAGAAAGAUGGUUCAAUGAGGUUGUGUAUAGACUACCGGCAGUUGAAUAUGGUUACCGUCAAGAAUAAAUACCCUCUUCCCCGAAUUGAUGACCUCUUUGAUCAAUUACGAGGUGCAGCGGUAUUCUCUAAAAUUGAUUUACGAUCUGGCUACCAUCAAUUGAAAAUAAGAAGUGAGGAUGUAUCGAAGACAGCUUUUCGAACUCGUUAUGGACACUAUGAGUUCUUAGUUAUGCCUUUUGGAUUAACUAAUGCUCCUGCAGUGUUCAUGGAUUUGAUGAAUAGGAUCUUCCAACCUUAUCUUGACCAGUUUGUCAUCGUCUUUAUUGAUGACAUAUUAAUUUACUCUAAGAGUAAGAAGGAGCAUGAGUCGCACCUGAGGAUUGUAUUAGAAACAUUGCGGAAGAAGAAGUUGUAUGGAAAAUUUAAGAAAUGUGAGUUUUGGCUUGAUCGUGUGAUGUUUUUGGGACAUAUAGUGACGAAGGAUGGUAUUUCAGCAGAUCCAGCCAAAGUGGAGGUAAUUGUGAAUUGGGAAAGGCCUGCUAGUGUGACUGAAGUAAGGAGUUUCUUAGGAUUGGCAGGUUAUUAUAGGCGCUUUGUCAAAGGAUUUUCUAGCAUAGCAGCACCAUUGACUAAUUUGACUAAGAAGAAUGUGAAGUUCAAUUGGGAUGAGGCAUGUGAAAAGAGCUUUUAAGAGCUCAAGAGUCAUUUGGUGACUGCCCCCGUUUUAACUCUCCCUUCUGAAGGUGGAGGUUUUGUGAUUUACAGUGAUGCUUCCAGAAAAGGUUUGGGUUGCGUUUUAAUGCAACAUGGUAAGGUUAUAGCAUAUGCUUCUAGGCAGCUAAAGAAUCAUGAACAAAACUACCCAACACAUGAUUUGGAAUUGGCUGCUAUAAUGUUUGCUCUAAAAAUCUGGAGACACUAUUUGUAUGGGGAGACUUGUGAGAUCUUCACCGAUCAUAAGAGUUUGAAGUACUUGUUUACUCAAAAGGAAUUGAAUUUGAGGCAAAGAAGAUGGUUGGAGUUGGUAAAGGAUUUUGAUUGUUCUAUUAAUUACCAUCCAGGUAAGGCAAACGUAGUAGCGGAUGUCUUGAGUAGGAAAUCAUCUGGGUGCAUGGCUCAUCUUAUCACCAUGCAAUCUCAUUUGGUAAAAGACUUGAGGAGAUGUGGGAUUGAGGUAGUUACUCAUGGGCAAGCAGACGUGUUAGCACAUUUGACAGUCCAACCCACUCUAAUUGAUAGAGUUAAGGUAGCUCAGAAGAACGACAUAGAACUCAAUAAAAUCCGUGAAGAUGUGAGCAAAGGACAUAAGCCCGGAUUUAGACUUGAUAAUGGGGAUGGAUUAUGUUUGGGACAAAGGUUAUGCGUGCCAGCAGACGAAGAGUUGAAGGCGGAGAUCUUAAGAGAAGCUCAUGAAUCAUCUUACAGUAUGCAUCCUGGUAGUACUAAGAUGUAUCGUGAUCUAAAGCAAAGUUUUUGGUGGAGGAAUAUGAAGAGAGAUAUUGCUGCUUUUGUGUCUCGGUGUUUAGUCUGCCAACAAGUAAAGAUUGAGCAUUAAAGACCAGCAGGAACUUUACAAACGCUUCCUAUUCCUCAGUGGAAAUGGGAACACAUAACAAUGGAUUUCGUUUCUGGAUUACCUCGUUCUAGGAGGGGAUGUGAUUGCAUUUGGGUAAUUGUUGAUCGAUUGACGAAAUCAGCUCAUUUCUUGGCAAGGAAGAGUACAGACAAUGUAGGGCAACUAGCUAAGUUGUUCAUUAAGGAGAUAGUGAGGCUUCAUGGGGUUCCAGUGUCAAUAGUGUCUGAUAGAGAUCCACUGUUCACUUCAAGAUUUUGGGCUAGCUUACAUAAAGAGUUGGGGACGAAAUUGAGAUUUAGCACUGCUUUUCAUCCACAGACAGAUGGGCAAUCCGAAAGGACUAUUCAAACCCUUGAGGAUAUGCUUCGAGCUUGCGUCCUAGACUUGAGUGGUGGUUGGGAAGAGCACCUAAUGUUGAUCGAAUUUGCUUAUAACAAUAGCUUCCAUUCGAGUAUUGGCAUGGCACCAUUUGAGGCAUUAUAUGGAAGAAAGUGUAGGUCCCCAAUCUGCUGGGAUGAAGUUGGUGAAAGAAAACUUUUGGGUCCAGAAUUAAUACAGAUUACUGUUGAUAAAAUCAAGUUGAUUAGAGGACGUCUUCAAACAGCUCAGAGCAGACAGAAGAGUUAUGCAGAUCGUCGUAGACGUGAGUUGGAAUUCGAAAAAGGAGAUUUUGUUUUCUUGAAAGUAUCGCCAUGGAAAGGGGUGUUUCGGUUCGGGAAGACAGGAAAGCUUAGCCCUAGAUUUAUUGGACCAUUUGAGAUUUUAGAGAGAAUUGGUCCGGUGGCCUAUCGCAUAGCUUUACCACCAAGUCUGUCUAGGCUUCACAAUGUAUUUCAUGUGUCUGUGUUAAGAAAGUACAUUGCAGACCCUUUACAUGUGCUAGACUAUCAACCGAUUCAGAUAAAUGAAGACAUGUCGUAUGAGGAACAGCCUAUUGAGAUUGUCGAUCGAGACGAACAAGUAUUAAGGAAUAGAGUUAUUCCCCUAGUGAAGGUACGAUGGAUGAAUCAUUCUAUUGAGGAAGCCACUUGGGAGAGAAGCAGAAAUGUUGGAGAAGUAUCCUCAACUCUUCCAUGCAUAAGGUAACCUUUUAAUUUCGAGGACGAAAUUUUUGUUAGGAGGGGAGAAAUUGUAACGCCACAAAUUCCCAUACAUAUUAAAUUAUGGAAAUUGGGCUUUCAUUGAGAAUUAUGGGUGGCCUAUAACCCUUAUUUAGAAAGGGGUACUAAUUAAAUAGAGGUUAUUUAUGAGAUCAUUUUGGAAAAGGGCUAUUUUUCCUUAUUGAAUAGGGUUUCUUAAGAUCCCCUAUAAAUACAUACUUUUCCCCCU
Molecule: long non-coding RNA, 7319 nt
Filed under: Citrus x clementina
Lineage: Eukaryota; Viridiplantae; Streptophyta; Magnoliopsida; Sapindales; Rutaceae
Description: Citrus clementina (C. clementina) long non-coding RNA (CCLE_LNC006682)
Source: RNAcentral